UACGGAGGGUGCAAGCGUUAUCCGGAUUUAUUGGGUUUAAAGGGUCCGUAGGCGGACAAUUAAGUCAGCGGUGAAAGCCCACAGCUCAACUGUGGAACUGCCAUUGAUACUGGUUGUCUUGAGUACGGUUGAUGUUGGCGGAAUAAGUCAUGUAGCGGUGAAAUGCAUAGAUAUGACUUGGAACCCCGAUUGCGAAGGCAGCCAACAAAGCCGAAACUGACGCUGAGGGACGAAAGCGUGGGUAGCGAACAGGAUUAGAUACCCUGGUAGUCCACGCUGUAAACGAUGAUUACUCGGUAUUGGCGCAAGUCAGUGCCCAAGCGAAAGUGAUAAGUAAUCCACCUGGGGAGUACGGCCGCAAGGUUGAA
This 368-nucleotide ribosomal RNA is filed under the name uncultured bacterium. RNAcentral describes it as "bacterial SSU rRNA". It matches the Rfam family "Bacterial small subunit ribosomal RNA", at positions 524 to 898 of the family's 1533-position model. The record is from RNAcentral.